This 459-nucleotide ribosomal RNA is filed under the name uncultured bacterium. RNAcentral describes it as "partial 16S ribosomal RNA". It matches the Rfam family "Bacterial small subunit ribosomal RNA", at positions 338 to 795 of the family's 1533-position model. The record is from RNAcentral.
CCUACGGGAGGCUGCAGUGAGGAAUAUUGGUCAAUGGACGCAAGUCUGAACCAGCCAUGUCGCGUGCGGGAUGACGGCUCUAUGAGUUGUACACCGCUUUUGUACGAGGGUAAACGCAUAUACGUGUGUCUGUCUGAAGGUAUCGUACGAAUAAGGGUCUGCUAACUCCGUGCCAGCAGCCGCGGUAAUACGGAGGACUCAAGCGUUAUCCGGAUUUAUUGGGUUUAAAGGGUGCGCAGGCGGAAGAUCAAGUCAGCGGUAAAAUUGGGGGGCUCAACCUCUUCUAGCCGUUGAAACUGGUUUUCUUGAGUGAGUGAGAAGUAUGCGGAAUGCGUGGUGUAGCGGUGAAAUGCAUAGAUAUCACGCAGAACUCCGAUUGCGAAGGCAGCAUACCGGCGCUCAACUGACGCUGAUGCACGAAAGCGUGGGUAUCGAACAGGAUUAGAUACCCUUGUAGUC